UACGAAGGUGGCAAGCGUUAUUCGAAAUCACUGGGCUUAAAGGGCGGGUAGGCGGGAACGAGAGUGUCUUGUGAAAUCCCUCGACUUAACCGAGGAAUUGCUCGGCAAACUACGUUUCUUGAGGCAAGCAGGGGUGUGUGGAACUCUUAGUGGAGCGGUGGAAUGCGUAGAUAUUAAGAGGAACGCCGAAGGUGAAAACAGCACACUGGGCUUGUACUGACGCUGAGGCGCGAAAGCCUGGGGAGUAAACAGG
RNAcentral lists this ribosomal RNA (253 nucleotides) under uncultured bacterium. RNAcentral's name for it is "partial 16S ribosomal RNA". It matches the Rfam family "Bacterial small subunit ribosomal RNA", at positions 524 to 776 of the family's 1533-position model. The record is from RNAcentral.